This 29-nucleotide transfer RNA is filed under the name Renibacterium salmoninarum. RNAcentral's name for it is "partial tRNA-Asn". The record is from RNAcentral. Lineage: Bacteria; Bacillati; Actinomycetota; Actinomycetes; Micrococcales; Micrococcaceae.
AGUCCGGUGCUCUAACCAACUGAGCUAAG